RNAcentral lists this ribosomal RNA (252 nucleotides) under Salmonella enterica. RNAcentral describes it as "partial 23S ribosomal RNA". It matches the Rfam family "Bacterial large subunit ribosomal RNA", at positions 1243 to 1499 of the family's 2925-position model. Lineage: Bacteria; Pseudomonadati; Pseudomonadota; Gammaproteobacteria; Enterobacterales; Enterobacteriaceae. The record is from RNAcentral.
UAAGCCGUUGAAGGUGGCCUGUGAGGGUUGCUGGAGGUAUCAGAAGUGCGAAUGCUGACAUAAGUAACGAUAAAGCGGGUGAAAAGCCCGCUCGCCGGAAGACCAAGGGUUCCUGUCCAACGUUAAUCGGGGCAGGGUGAGUCGACCCCUAAGGCGAGGCCGAAAGGCGUAGUCGAUGGGAAACGGGUUAAUAUUCCCGUACUUGGUGUUACUGCGAAGGGGGGACGGAGAAGGCUAUGUUGGCCGGGCGAC